AAAGUAGAGAUAUGAAUCAACUGACACGUCGACACAACCAAGAGGACGCUUAAAGGGAGUGGUUGUAUAUUUCACAAUAUCAACUCAGAUCAGCCACACGUCCGAGAAUCCAAGUUUGGAUUGCUGUUCUAUCUUUCAAGUAUGGCUGUUUGCGGUGACAAGCGCUGUUUUGUCGGUGUUAUCUUUUUAACACUCAUAGGAGUACUAGUGCUGUACCAUAUUCAGGUCGACACAGCAUUUGGGAGCAUCAACAAAAACCAUUGGAUUACAGGGCUCGGAAGACAUGGAAUAAGAAACCCUUGGUUUGUGCAUGGGUCUCAAAAUCUGAAACCGAAGUUCAAGGUCUGUACACUGUCUCUUUCCAUAUUGCGGCUAGCUAGGAAGCAUAUUGAAUGACAUGCCUGCUGUUAAAAGAAGGAUUACGUUUUGUACUGACUAGAAAAUGUGUGUCAAGUUACAGUAAAGCGUAACUUGUGGUUCUACUUGUGGUGGUACAUGUUUAGUGUUCUUCAUGCGUUUCGUGGGCGAACAAACAAUGGGGUGGCGUAAAUAAGACGUUCCAAUUCGCAACUUCGCAUCAUGAAAUAUGUAGCCUAAUAACGUCGACCACUCACUCACUCACUCACUCACUCACUCACUCACUCACUCACUCACUCACUCACUCACUCACUCACUCACUCACUCACACAC
Molecule: long non-coding RNA, 690 nt
Organism: Branchiostoma floridae (Florida lancelet)
Lineage: Eukaryota; Metazoa; Chordata; Leptocardii; Amphioxiformes; Branchiostomatidae
Exons: 3
Source: RefSeq, a predicted model, not a curated record